This is a non-coding RNA of Drosophila virilis, 837 nucleotides long. The record is from RefSeq and is a predicted model, not a curated record. NCBI's taxonomy places the organism in Eukaryota, Metazoa, Arthropoda, Insecta, Diptera, Drosophilidae.
GCUCUUGACAAUCAGUUUGCUUAACUUGCUUAAACCAUUUUUUGUUUUUGCACAAGUAUGGGUAUUUUAAAAAGUUAAAGAUAAACAAAAAUAAUAUUCUUUUAGUAUAAUGCUGUAUAAAUAUGUUCGUUCUGUUGAUAUUUACACCGGUCAAAACGAACAUUUCCAUCUUGCCAAUUUAAUAAAUACUAUUACUGAUCUACACAAAAGCCAAAAUCAAAACAAAGUCUUUAAUGAUCUAAAUAUGUGUUUUAAGCAAUCGAUGUAUGCAAUUGUUUAUUAUGUAUAUAUAAUUUCAUUAUUAACAAAUUGGUUAUUAUAUUUCGUCUAUGUGUAUGUGCGUCUGGUGUGUCCGUGCUAACGGCGGAGAACCUUAUAACAGUUUCUGCUAAGGUGCUGUUAAUAAAAGACUAAUCGUUUUUCCUUCCGAUAAAUUAUGUCUUAGAAACCCUGCGCAGUUAUGUCGCUGUCAAAAAUGCAGCUGUUUGUAUGUAAAAGAAAUUGACAGUUAUUACUUCAAAAUUAAGUGACGGCGUUUAGUUUAUAAUUAAGAAGCUUGACACUUGAAGUAAACAUGUGUUGUUGUGACAUCUGUGGAUGUCGAAAAAAGUGUAAAGGGUCGAUUUGUCAAGAGUUUCAGAAUCUAAAAAACAAAGAACCUAAAUAAAAUGAUAUAUUUGUUUAUUUUGAGAAUCUGAAUUUUGUUAGAAACGAACCCAUUGCCAAACGAAAAAUCGGACGAAUAUUCUGUUUUUUAAUGAAUGAAUGAAUAUGAAUCACAUAUAAAAACAGCUAAAUCCGAGUUUUGGACAUAUAAAAGUAUGUAAAUUUGUUGAA